RNAcentral lists this ribosomal RNA (407 nucleotides) under uncultured bacterium. RNAcentral's name for it is "bacterial SSU rRNA". It matches the Rfam family "Bacterial small subunit ribosomal RNA", at positions 505 to 916 of the family's 1533-position model. The record is from RNAcentral.
GUGUCAGCCGCCGCGGUAAUACGGAGGAUCCAAGCGUUAUCCGGAAUCAUUGGGUUUAAAGGGUCCGUAGGCGGUUAGAUAAGUCAGUGGUGAAAGCCCAUCGCUCAACGGUGGAACGGCCAUUGAUACUGUUUAACUUGAAUUAUUAGGAAGUAACUAGAAUAUGUAGUGUAGCGGUGAAAUGCUUAGAGAUUACAUGGAAUACCAAUUGCGAAGGCAGGUUACUACUAAUGGAUUGACGCUGAUGGACGAAAGCGUGGGUAGCGAACAGGAUUAGAUACCCUGGUAGUCCACGCCGUAAACGAUGGAUACUAGCUGUUGGGAGCAAUCUCAGUGGCUAAGCGAAAGUGAUAAGUAUCCCACCUGGGGAGUACGUUCGCAAGAAUGAAACUUAAAGGAAUUGACGG